AUUGAACGCUGGCGGCAUGCUUUACACAUGCAAGUCGAACGGUAACAGGCCGCCAGGUGCUGACGAGUGGCGAACGGGUGAGUAAUGCAUCGGAACGUGCCCAGUCGUGGGGGAUAACUACUCGAAAGAGUAGCUAAUACCGCAUACGAUCUAUGGAUGAAAGCGGGGGACCGUAAGGCCUCGCGCGAUUGGAGCGGCCGAUGUCAGAUUAGGUAGUUGGUGGGGUAAAGGCUCACCAAGCCAACGAUCUGUAGCUGGUCUGAGAGGACAACCAGCCGCACUGGGACUGAGACACGGCCCAGACUCCUACGGGAGGCAGCAGUGGGGAAUUUUGGACAAUGGGCGCAAGCCUGAUCCAGCAAUGCCGCGUGCAGGAAGAAGGCCUUCGGGUUGUAAACUGCUUUUGUACGGAACGAAACGGCUCUGGUUAAUACCCGGGGAUAAUGACGGUACCGUAAGAAUAAGCACCGGCUAACUACGUG
Molecule: ribosomal RNA, 482 nt
Filed under: uncultured bacterium
Lineage: Bacteria
Description: partial 16S ribosomal RNA
Rfam family: Bacterial small subunit ribosomal RNA
Source: RNAcentral